AGUUUGAAGGUUGUGGAAAUCACGCCACGCAAGUCUCUACGGAAGAUUACCCAAGGCGUCUUGCAGUCCCGCUUUCGGGAUAAUAUCCAAGGGCAAAGUUUGAAGGUUGGGCAAGUUAUGCCACCCAUGUCUCUGCGAAAUAUUACCCAUGGCGUGUUGCAAUGCUUCUUUUGGGAUACAUUCGAAGGGCAAAGUUUGAAGGUUGUGGAAAUCAUGCCACGCAAGUCUCUACGGAAGAUUACCCAAGGCGUCUUGCAAUCCCGCUUUCGGGAUAAUAUCCAAGG
Eublepharis macularius is the source of this 284-nucleotide long non-coding RNA. RefSeq lists it as uncharacterized. The record is from RefSeq and is a predicted model, not a curated record. The transcript is spliced from 3 exons. NCBI's taxonomy places the organism in Eukaryota, Metazoa, Chordata, Lepidosauria, Squamata, Eublepharidae.